UACGUAGGGGGCAAGCGUUGUCCGGAUUUAUUGGGCGUAAAGAGCGUGUAGGCGGCCUGGUAGGUCAGCUGUGAAAACUCGAGGCUCAACCUCGAGAUGUCGAUGGAAACCGUCUGGCUAGAGUCCGGAAGAGGAGUGUGGAAUUCCUGGUGUAGCGGUGAAAUGCGCAGAUAUCAGGAGGAACACCAAUUGCGAAGGCAGCUCGCUGGGACGUUACUGACGCUGAGGAGCGAAAGCGUGGGGAGCAAACAGG
This 253-nucleotide ribosomal RNA is filed under the name uncultured bacterium. RNAcentral describes it as "partial 16S ribosomal RNA". It matches the Rfam family "Bacterial small subunit ribosomal RNA", at positions 524 to 776 of the family's 1533-position model. The record is from RNAcentral.